CCAUCCAUGGAAUGCUAAUCACUUGAAGUACUAUUACAAGUAAACUCACAUUGUACAAGUGUUAAGCUUCAACCGUUCGGCAUCCUAUGUAACGAAGACUAUUUGGCAUGAAUUCAAUAAAAAGGUAAUUUAGACAACUUGGUCCUAAUCCUUUUACAUUCCUAGCAAUGAAACACUCGGGUUCAAAGCUUUAACAUGAAUGCUUCCAACAUGAAACAAAGUCUAUGUCAACAAGACUAUACAAGUAAACGAACAGCUUCACAGUAUAUUCGUUCAAUCAUACAUUCUAACACAUUCAUACAUAAGCCAACUGUGCUUUGAAAGGGUACAACAUACUUUGUGUCAUUCGACACUUGCUACAAUGUGCCUCAACACCUUGCUCUUAUUCUCACUAACCAGGUGAUGAAAUGUGAAGAAGGAACUCAUCUUCAUGCUACAAACCAGGUGAUGACAUGUACAACCUAUACUAUCCUUCAUGCCACUAAGCAGGUGAUGAAAUGUACAACCCGUACUCUCCUUCAUGCCACCAACCAGGUGAUGAAAUGUACAGCCCAUACUCAAAUAUCAUUUGGCCACUUGACAUUCAUGCCACCAACCAAGUGAUGAAAUGUAAAACCCGUACUCUCCUUCAUGUCACCAACCAGGUGAUGAAAUGUACAACCUGUACUCUAAUAUCAUUUGGCAACUUGCCACUCAUGCCACCAAUGAGGUGAAAAAGGAACUCAUCUUCAUGCCACCAACCAGGUGAUGAAAUGUACACCCCGUACUCUAAUAUCAUUUGGCAACUUGCCAUUCAUGCCACCAACCAGGUGAAGAAGGAACUCAUCCUCGUGCCACCAGGUGAUGAAAUGUGAUGAAAUGUGAUGAAGGAACUCACAUUCGUACCACCAACCAAGUGACAAAAGCAACUCACCAUUCAUUCCACCUACCAGAAGACGAGUGGUAUAACUUGUACAUGUGAACUCCUAGCAUUCACAAAUAAUCAAAAACCCUUAAGCUUAACAACUAAACUAAGAGAGCACUUAUGCCCAAUAAGAGUUACAGUCACCAACAAAGUCUUAUUGCAAGCCAACAACAACUUCAGUGCAUGGCAUACGAAGAUCAAGUUAUUCAGCCCUUUUGAUCAAGACAGUGUGAAGCAAAACCAAUUUAUGGUACCAAUAAGAGUUUCAUCAAACGAGUUUAACCACAAUUCUCAAAAGCUUCACACACUCUUGAUCAAGACAGUGUGAAACAAAACCAAUUUAUGGUGCCAACAAAAGCUUCAUCAAUGGAGGGCAACCAAAAUUCUCAAAGCUUCACACACUCUUGAUCAAGACAGUGUGAAGCAAAACCAAUUUAUAGUGCCAAAAAGAGCUUCAUCAAUGGAGGGCAACCACAAUUCUCAAAAGCUUCACACAUUCUCUAUCAAGACAGUGUGAAGCCAAACCAAUUUAUGGUGCCAACAAGAGCUUCAUCAAUGGAGGGCAACCAAAAUUCUCAAAAGCUUCACACACUCUUGAUCAAGACAAUGUAAAGCAAAACUAAUUUAUGGUGCCAACAAGAUCUUCAUCAAUGGAGGGCAACCAUAAUUCUAAAAAACUUCACACACUCUUGAUCAAGACAGUGUGAAGCAAAACCAAUUUAUGGUGCCAACAAGACCUUCAUCAAUGGAGGGCAACCACAAUUCUCAAAAGCUUUACACACUCUUGAUCAAGACAGUGUGAAGCAAAACCAAUUUAUGGUGCCAAUAAGAGCUUCAUCAAUGAAGGGCAACUACAACUCGUAGAAAGCUUCACACACUCUUGAUCAAGACAGUGUGAGGCAAAACUAAUUUAUGGUGCCAACAAGAUAUUCAUCAAUGGAGGGCAACCACAAUUCUCAAAAACUUCACACACUCUUG
Molecule: long non-coding RNA, 1882 nt
Filed under: Malus domestica (apple)
Lineage: Eukaryota; Viridiplantae; Streptophyta; Magnoliopsida; Rosales; Rosaceae
Description: long non-coding RNA (MDOM_LNC013445)
Source: RNAcentral